Molecule: ribosomal RNA, 490 nt
Filed under: uncultured bacterium
Lineage: Bacteria
Description: partial 16S ribosomal RNA
Rfam family: Bacterial small subunit ribosomal RNA
Source: RNAcentral
AUUGAACGCUGGCGGCAGGCCUAACACAUGCAAGUCGAACGGUAACAGGGAUCAGCUUGCUGAUUCGCUGACGAGUGGCGGACGGGUGAGUAAUGUCUGGGAAACUGCCUGAUGGAGGGGGAUAACUACUGGAAACGGUAGCUAAUACCGCAUAACGUCGCAAGACCAAAGAGGGGGACCUUCGGGCCUCUUGCCAUCGGAUGUGCCCAGAUGGGAUUAGCUAGUAGGUGGGGUAACGGCUCACCUAGGCGACGAUCCCUAGCUGGUCUGAGAGGAUGACCAGCCACACUGGAACUGAGACACGGUCCAGACUCCUACGGGAGGCAGCAGUGGGGAAUAUUGCACAAUGGGCGCAAGCCUGAUGCAGCCAUGCCGCGUGUAUGAAGAAGGCCUUCGGGUUGUAAAGUACUUUCAGCAGGGAGGAAGGGAGUAAAGUUAAUACCUUUGCUCAUUGACGUUACCCGCAGAAGAAGCACCGGCUAACUCCGUG